CCUACGGGUGGCAGCAGUGGGGAAUAUUGGACAAUGGGGGGAACCCUGAUCCAGCCAUGCCGCGUGUGUGAAGAAGGCCCUCGGGUUGUAAAGCACUUUCAGUGAGGAAGAACGCCUGGUGGUUAAUACCCAUCAGGAAAGACAUCACUCACAGAAGAAGCACCGGCUAACUCCGUGCCAGCAGCCGCGGUAAUACGGAGGGUGCGAGCGUUAAUCGGAAUUACUGGGCGUAAAGCGCGCGUAGGUGGCUUGAUAAGCCGGUUGUGAAAGCCCCGGGCUCAACCUGGGAACGGCAUCCGGAACUGUCAACUAGAGUGCAGGAGAGGAAGGUAGAAUUCCCGGUGUAGCGGUGAAAUGCGUAGAGAUCGGGAGGAAUACCAGUGGCGAAGGCGGCCUUCUGGACUGACACUGACACUGAGGUGCGAAAGCGUGGGUAGCAAACAGGAUUAGAUACCCCUGUAGUC
RNAcentral lists this ribosomal RNA (464 nucleotides) under Vreelandella stevensii. RNAcentral describes it as "partial 16S ribosomal RNA". It matches the Rfam family "Bacterial small subunit ribosomal RNA", at positions 338 to 795 of the family's 1533-position model. Lineage: Bacteria; Pseudomonadati; Pseudomonadota; Gammaproteobacteria; Oceanospirillales; Halomonadaceae. The record is from RNAcentral.